GCUGGGAGCAGCCUCUGCUGAUGAGCCUCCUCUCUCUGAUGGCCGUGCUGGUGAUGAGCACCCAGCCAAAGCCUCUAAGAAGUUGGCUGAAGGGGCUGUUCCUCA
Small nucleolar RNA from Ficedula albicollis (Collared flycatcher), 105 nucleotides. Ensembl annotates it as small nucleolar RNA, C/D box 125. The record is from Ensembl. Lineage: Eukaryota; Metazoa; Chordata; Aves; Passeriformes; Muscicapidae.